AACAGGAUUAGAUACCCUGGUAGUCCACGCCGUAAACGAUGUCUACUAGCUGUUCGUGGUCUUGUACUGUGAGUAGCGCAGCUAACGCACUAAGUAGACCGCCUGGGGAGUACGGUCGCAAGAUUAAAACUCAAAUGAAUUGACGGGGGCCCGCACAAGCGGUGGAGCAUGUGGUUUAAUUCGACGCAACGCGAAGAACCUUACCUACUCUUGACAUCUAGCGAAGAUUGCAGAGAUGCAGUUGUGCCUUCGGGAACGCUAAGACAGGUGCUGCAUGGCUGUCGUCAGCUCGUGUUGUGAAAUGUUGGGUUAAGUCCCGCAACGAGCGCAACCCUUAUCCUUAGUUGCCAGCACGUAAUGGUGGGAACUCUAGGGAGACUGCCGGUGAUAAACCGGAGGAAGGUGGGGACGACGUCAAGUCAUCAUGGCCCUUACGAGUAGGGCUACACACGUGCUACAAUGGUACGUACAGAGGGAGGCAAGCUGGCGACAGUGAGCGGAUCUCUUAAAGCGUAUCGUAGUCCGGAUCGCAGUCUGCAACUCGACUGCGUGAAGUCGGAAUCGCUAGUAAUCGCAAAUCAGAAUGUUGCGGUGAAUACGUUCCCGGGCCUUGUACACACCGCCCGUCACACCAUGGGAGUGGGUUGCAAAAGAAGUAGGUAGCUUACCCUUCGGGGAGGGCGCUUUACCACUUUGUGAUUCAUGACUUGGGGUGAAGUCGUAACAAGGUACC
This 733-nucleotide ribosomal RNA is filed under the name uncultured bacterium. Its description in RNAcentral is "bacterial SSU rRNA". It matches the Rfam family "Bacterial small subunit ribosomal RNA", at positions 771 to 1500 of the family's 1533-position model. The record is from RNAcentral.